Non-coding RNA from Drosophila bipectinata, 211 nucleotides. NCBI's taxonomy places the organism in Eukaryota, Metazoa, Arthropoda, Insecta, Diptera, Drosophilidae. The record is from RefSeq and is a predicted model, not a curated record.
AUACAUCAGAAUACAUCAGUCAUUUAUCUUUCAUCUUACUCAGAUAUUUCUCAACAAUUCAAAGAGGUUAUAAUCUAGGCUACCCGUCACCAAGAAGUCAUUUUCCUGCCACGUACAUAAUUCACCAGAAAAAACCGCUCACAAUUUAUACAACCAUAGAUUAAUAUCUGUUAAAGAACCAAUAAACUGACACAAACCCCUUAGGUUCAUA